AGCAGAGGGCUCUUCUGCAGAAAGUGAUCCCAGGAUAGGGGGCUGCCAUGGGAGUCAGGGAUUUGCACCCCAAAUUUCAGGUGGUAUCUGAGCUCUGUGUGUCCUUCCUACCCACCUCUCAGGGCCCAGCAGCUCACCUGGACCACGGAAAGCACAGAAAGAACUGGCUGAAUGAAUCAAGAGAUCAAGUGUUCUCCCUGAGGCCCUGUAACAGCUCUGCAGCUGACUGCCCAGAAGGAAGCAGAAGUGAGUGACAAGUUGGGGGAACCAGAGCUUGCACACCAUAGGCCUGAACACUAGCCUCUGGGGAAAGGCAAGUCCAGCUGACCUUGGUGAAGUUAGGACCCGGGCCGAGGCCACCUCUUCUGGUUCACCCUCUGCUGGCCUCCCAGCUUCUUUGGCUCAGCAACACCCAGGAUUCCAGGCAUGUUUGCCUCUGGCCUUCUAAAAAUACCCAGGCCACCCAGCACCUCCCAGAUGUCUGAGCGCUGAGUCUGUGAUUUCCCUGCCGGUAAUGGGACAGCCCCGGGGUGGGCAGGCGGGGGUGGCUCGAGCAGCUCAAGCCACUUCCUCUGCCUCCCAUCCCCUAGCCUACCAGAAGCUGGACCCAGCCCUGCCUCCCAAUCCUUGCAAGGCAAAGGAGGGUAGAGGCUAGCAGACCUCAGAGAUUGUUGACUCCAGUCUCUUCUUGGGACAGAUGGGAGAUCUGAAGUCUAAGGAUUGCUCAUGGCACUUGUGCCAUUAAGGUCCUCCUCACCCCACUCCCCAGCACUGUGUUCAUGCCUGCUGCUGUCUCACUUCCCACAUGCUACUUGGAGUCUAGGUCUUGGAGCCCAACCUGACUUCCUCCAUGCAGCUGAAAGCUCCUGACAGCAGUGAAGGGGAGGAUCCCUGUGGUCUCCAUGGUGCCUGGAAGAGUGUCCAAUCCAGAGCACACCAUCAGUAAACGUAGAUUGGAUUGAA
RNAcentral lists this long non-coding RNA (963 nucleotides) under Homo sapiens (human). RNAcentral's name for it is "imatinib upregulated ABL suppressing lncRNA 1 (IUR1)". The record is from RNAcentral. Lineage: Eukaryota; Metazoa; Chordata; Mammalia; Primates; Hominidae.